GGCGCGCACCUCUGGCUGCAGGAAGGUAGCGACUGUGGAAUGCGAAUUGGUGCUGGGUCCUUCGGACGAUCAGUGGCGCUGCCACCGCCUUCUGCUCGAGGCUUGAGGAGGGAGCCUUGGGCUUGGGCUGAGGCUCCCGGAUCUGCGGUGUUGCUCCCCGGAUAACUGGAAUGGAUCUGCAGCUGCUGCAGCUGUAGUGGGCAGCGCUAGUAUUGGAUGGCGUGUGUGACAGCAGCAGAUCCAGCCUCACUAGGAUUAAAUGUGCGUGGAGCCGGAGGAAGUUUCACAAUCUGAAACACACUGGAACCUACGAAGAGGAAUGACGACUUCAUAAGAGAACUUUCCUACAGUUGCUUUCUUUCCUUGUUCCGAAUCAUGAUGCCCCCAGCCAAUAAUGUACCAUUCACUUAAGAUGGGAUUUACCCUGGGAAAGGGAUAUCCAAACCAUGAAUCCUGAGCAUCUUUUCAGCCUCUUACUUGUCCGUUAUUUUUGUUAGACUUCUGUGUACAUUGUUAGCAGAAACAAUUCUACUGCCUUGCUCAGCUUGAGCCUUCCUACUCCUGUUGAGCCUUCAAGUGCGCUGAUUCUUCUGCAUCAUGGCUUCAGUGUGGAAAAGACUGCAGCGUGUUGGGAAACAUGCAUCCAAGUUCCAGUUUGUGGCCUCUUAUCAGGAACUGAUGGUUGAGUGCACCAAGAAAUGGGUCUGCUGCACAGAGGCACCUGCAGGGGGAGUUGGGGCACGUGAUGCAAGCACU
Molecule: non-coding RNA, 756 nt
Organism: Python bivittatus (Burmese python)
Lineage: Eukaryota; Metazoa; Chordata; Lepidosauria; Squamata; Pythonidae
Source: RefSeq, a predicted model, not a curated record